GCGCUGGUGGUGCAGUGGUUAGAGUGUUGGACUGGGGCCCAAGGAAAGACCAGGGUUCGAAUCCCGCCUCAGUUGCC
Non-coding RNA from Podarcis lilfordi (Lilford's wall lizard), 77 nucleotides. The record is from the annotation of a GenBank genome assembly. Lineage: Eukaryota; Metazoa; Chordata; Lepidosauria; Squamata; Lacertidae.